GUUUGAUCAUGGCUCAGAUUGAACGCUGGCGGCAGGCUUAACACAUGCAAGUCGAGCGGGGGAAGGUAGCUUGCUACUGGACCUAGCGGCGGACGGGUGAGUAAUGCUUAGGAAUCUGCCUAUUAGUGGGGGACAACAUCUCGAAAGGGAUGCUAAUACCGCAUACGUCCUACGGGAGAAAGCAGGGGAUCUUCGGACCUUGCGCUAAUAGAUGAGCCUAAGUCGGAUUAGCUAGUUGGUGGGGUAAAGGCCUACCAAGGCGACGAUCUGUAGCGGGUCUGAGAGGAUGAUCCGCCACACUGGGACUGAGACACGGCCCAGACUCCUACGGGAGGCAGCAGUGGGGAAUAUUGGACAAUGGGGGGAACCCUGAUCCAGCCAUGCCGCGUGUGUGAAGAAGGCCUUAUGGUUGUAAAGCACUUUAAGCGAGGAGGAGGCUACUUUAGUUAAUACCUAGAGAUAGUGGACGUUACUCGCAGAAUAAGCACCGGCUAACUCUGUGCCAGCAGCCGCGGUAAUACAGAGGGUGCGAGCGUUAAUCGGAUUUACUGGGCGUAAAGCGUGCGUAGGCGGCUUAUUAAGUCGGAUGUGAAAUCCCCGAGCUUAACUUGGGAAUUGCAUUCGAUACUGGUGAGCUAGAGUAUGGGAGAGGAUGGUAGAAUUCCAGGUGUAGCGGUGAAAUGCGUAGAGAUCUGGAGGAAUACCGAUGGCGAAGGCAGCCAUCUGGCCUAAUACUGACGCUGAGGUACGAAAGCAUGGGGAGCAAACAGGAUUAGAUACCCUGGUAGUCCAUGCCGUAAACGAUGUCUACUAGCCGUUGGGGCCUUUGAGGCUUUAGUGGCGCAGCUAACGCGAUAAGUAGACCGCCUGGGGAGUACGGUCGCAAGACUAAAACUCAAAUGAAUUGACGGGGGCCCGCACAAGCGGUGGAGCAUGUGGUUUAAUUCGAUGCAACGCGAAGAACCUUACCUGGCCUUGACAUACUAGAAACUUUCCAGAGAUGGAUUGGUGCCUUCGGGAAUCUAGAUACAGGUGCUGCAUGGCUGUCG
This 1049-nucleotide ribosomal RNA is filed under the name Acinetobacter baumannii. Its description in RNAcentral is "bacterial SSU rRNA". It matches the Rfam family "Bacterial small subunit ribosomal RNA", at positions 11 to 1054 of the family's 1533-position model. The record is from RNAcentral. Lineage: Bacteria; Pseudomonadati; Pseudomonadota; Gammaproteobacteria; Moraxellales; Moraxellaceae.